CUACGACCGUCAGGGCGCCACCUACCUCUUUGACCUGGACUACGUGGAGGACGUGUACACCGUGGAUGCCGCCUACUAUGGCAACAUCUCCCACUUUGUCAACCACAGUGUGGGUACCCCCGGCAGGCGGGCAAGGGGUCGAGAGGGGCAGGCUGGGGCCCCUCCUCACUCUCCCAACUGUUCUUUCUCGCCCAGUGUGACCCCAACCUGCAGGUGUACAACGUCUUCAUAGACAACCUUGACGAGCGGCUGCCCCGCAUCGCUUUCUUUGCCACAAGAACCAUCCGGGCAGGCGAGGAGCUCACCUUUGAUUACAACAUGCAAGUGGACCCCGUGGACAUGGAGAGCACCCGCAUGGACUCCAACUUUGGCCUGGCUGGGCUCCCUGGCUCCCCUAAGAAGCGGGUCCGUAUUGAAUGCAAGUGUGGGACUGAGUCCUGCCGCAAAUACCUCUUCUAGCCCUUAGAAGUCUGAGGCCAGACUGACUGAGGGGGCCUGAAGCUACAUGCACCUCCCCCACCGCUGCCCUCCUGUCGAGAAUGACUGCCAGGGCCUCGCCUGCCUCCACCUGCCCCCACCUGCUCCUACCUGCUCUACGUUCAGGGCUGUGGCCAUGGUGAGGACCGACUCCAGGAGUCCCCUUUCCCUGUCCCAGCCCCAUCUGUGGGUUGCACUUACAAACCCCCACCCACCUUCAGAAAUAGUUUUUCAACAUCAAGACUCUCUGUCGUUGGGAUUCAUGGCCU
This 746-nucleotide small RNA is filed under the name Pan troglodytes (chimpanzee). Its description in RNAcentral is "retained intron". Lineage: Eukaryota; Metazoa; Chordata; Mammalia; Primates; Hominidae. The record is from RNAcentral.